GACGAACGCUGGCGGCGUGCUUAACACAUGCAAGUCGAACGGAAAGGCCCUGCUUUUGUGGGGUGCUCGAGUGGCGAACGGGUGAGUAACACGUGAGUAACCUGCCCUUGACUUUGGGAUAACUUCAGGAAACUGGGGCUAAUACCGGAUAGGAGCUCCUGCUGCAUGGUGGGGGUUGGAAAGUUUCGGCGGUUGGGGAUGGACUCGCGGCUUAUCAGCUUGUUGGUGGGGUAGUGGCUUACCAAGGCUUUGACGGGUAGCCGGCCUGAGAGGGUGACCGGCCACAAUGGGACUGAGAUACAGCCCAGACUCCUACGGGAGGCAGCAGUGGGGAAUAUUGCACAGUGGGCGGAAGCCUAAUGCAGCAGCGCCGCGUGCGGGAUAACGGCCUUCGGGUUGUAAACCGCUUUCGCCUGUGACGAAGCGUGAGUGACGGUAAUGGGUAAAUAAGCACCGGCUAACUACGUG
This 468-nucleotide ribosomal RNA is filed under the name uncultured bacterium. Its description in RNAcentral is "partial 16S ribosomal RNA". It matches the Rfam family "Bacterial small subunit ribosomal RNA", at positions 28 to 507 of the family's 1533-position model. The record is from RNAcentral.